AGCCUAGUGUGGCCUGGAUAAGCAAGGGUUACAUGUUGAACCAAAUUCAGCUGAGACCUCUGGGUGUUACUGACCCAACCUCUACACUUUGGUCGGCUAUUUUCGCAGGGGUAAAAUCUAGAGCUGCUAAGAUAGACGAAACCAUGACCAUGACAAGCACGUGGACCAGGCCACAAUUGUACAAAGGGGACAUUGAUGCUAAGGAUGUGCAUCCUGCCAAAGCCUGCAUUGCCUCCAUUUCUUCCACAUCAUCCGCAGACCUCGUCCGCUUGCCUGAAACUCCUGACCUUUCCCCUCUUGGGCUGCCUCAAGUCUGCAUAAGUGAUGCGCAAGGAACCUGUCCCUACCGGGACUGAAGAGGAGACAGGUGAUGACACAUCCUUCUUCACGUGCUUCCCGUUUGCCUCCUCCCCUCAUUUCCGACUUGGACUUGGACUUCUCAUAACCUUUCCAGGUGCUGCCUCGUUGCACAGCAUCUCUUGCCAUCUCGCCUCUCUUCCCAGUUCAACAGUUUUGGACAACUCGAGAAAUUCAGGUUGGCCAGGAAGGUCAGUUCCAACUGGAUAGCCCUCAGGCUUAAGUCCUUUAAGCAAAUCCAAGUAAAGUGGAUAUAGACUUCACAGUCCUUAAGCUCAGAAAUAUAGAAUGGAGUCUCCUGGGGGGAAUGACAUUUUUUACAUCCUUUUUUGUAAGUUUUAUUGAAGUAGAGUUGAGUUACAUUGUUGUGAUCAUUUCUUCUCGACAACAAAGUGACUCAGUCAUACGUACACACACAUCCAUUCUCAUUUAGAUUCUUUUCCCACAUUGAUGAUCACAGAACACUCAUUGGGUAGAGUUCUCUGGGCUCUACAGCAGGUCCCCAUUGGCCAGGCGUUCCAUGUACCUCAAUGUGCAUAACGUUUAUUUCUGGUCUUGAGCUGCCACUCUUUCAGAUACAGAAAAAGGGAUCUCAUGACUUUAAGGUAAAUUCUGUCAGCUUUUGUAAUUUCUC
Molecule: non-coding RNA, 991 nt
Organism: Sus scrofa (pig)
Lineage: Eukaryota; Metazoa; Chordata; Mammalia; Artiodactyla; Suidae
Source: RefSeq, a predicted model, not a curated record